This 253-nucleotide ribosomal RNA is filed under the name uncultured bacterium. RNAcentral describes it as "partial 16S ribosomal RNA". It matches the Rfam family "Bacterial small subunit ribosomal RNA", at positions 524 to 776 of the family's 1533-position model. The record is from RNAcentral.
UACGGAGGGGGCUAGCGUUGUUCGGAAUUACUGGGCGUAAAGCGCACGUAGGCGGAUUGGAAAGUUGGGGGUGAAAUCCCGGGGCUCAACCCCGGAACUGCCUUCAAAACUCCCAGUCUGGAGGUCGAGAGAGGUGAGUGGAAUUCCGAGUGUAGAGGUGAAAUUCGUAGAUAUUCGGAGGAACACCAGUGGCGAAGGCGGCUCACUGGCUCGAUACUGACGCUGAGGAGCGAAAGCAUGGGGAGCGAACAGG